Molecule: non-coding RNA, 117 nt
Organism: Pelobates cultripes (western spadefoot toad)
Lineage: Eukaryota; Metazoa; Chordata; Amphibia; Anura; Pelobatidae
Source: the annotation of a GenBank genome assembly
GAUUCCCAAACCAGUCCUCAUGGCCCACCAACAGUCCAGGAUUUAUGCAUUUCCCUUAUUUUAUGUUAACUGACAAAAACUGGACUGUUGGUAGGCCAUGAGGACUGGUUUGGGAAC